UACGAAGGGGGCUAGCGUUGUUCGGAAUUACUGGGCGUAAAGCGCACGUAGGCGGACAUUUAAGUUGGAGGUGAAAGCCUUGGGCUCAACCCAAGAAUUGCCUUUGAUACUGGAUGUCUCGAGACCGGGAGAGGUGAGUGGAGUUCCGAGUGUAGAGGUGAAAUUCGUAGAUAUUCGGAAGAACACCAGUGGCGAAGGCGGCUUCCUGGACCGACACUGACGCUGAGGCGCGAAAGCUAGGGGAGCAAACGGG
Molecule: ribosomal RNA, 253 nt
Filed under: uncultured bacterium
Lineage: Bacteria
Description: partial 16S ribosomal RNA
Rfam family: Bacterial small subunit ribosomal RNA
Source: RNAcentral